This 387-nucleotide small RNA is filed under the name Pseudocitrobacter vendiensis. Its description in RNAcentral is "Enterobacterial sRNA STnc550". It matches the Rfam family "Enterobacterial sRNA STnc550". Lineage: Bacteria; Pseudomonadati; Pseudomonadota; Gammaproteobacteria; Enterobacterales; Enterobacteriaceae. The record is from RNAcentral.
UCCAUCUCACUCCAGACCCGGGCCUGCCCCUGAUCGAUUCAAUACGAAAACGUUUGCCUUCACUCACCCUGGCGCAAUGUUAUGAAUUGCGGUUCGCCGGGAAAACGACACAGGACGACAGGAGGGGGUCAAUGGCCGAUACACUUUUUAAUAAGCGUCGAAUUUUGUCUUAUCUUUGACAAAAGUGGAAGCGCAAAAUCGGUUAUUGCGUGAAAUCCGGGAAGAUUUUUGCGAAUAAGUGUGCAAAAAUGACAUAGCUCACUUUUGGUGUGGGGAUAAUAAGGAGAAAAAUUGAUGAGUACUGAACUGAAGAUGUCAAUUACCACUACGGUUAUUACGCUGGCGCUGAUCGUUGCUGCCGCGCUGACCGCCGUCCUGCAUUAACCC